UGGUGGAGUGAUUUGUCUGGUUAAUUCCGUUAACGAACGAGACCUCUUCGUGCUAACUAGUAAAAAGUACAAAAUGUAGUUUGUAACUUCUUAGCCGGACCCUUGGCGACUAGCCAAGGGAAGCUGGAGGCAAUAACA
This 138-nucleotide ribosomal RNA is filed under the name uncultured eukaryote. Its description in RNAcentral is "partial 18S ribosomal RNA". It matches the Rfam family "Eukaryotic small subunit ribosomal RNA", at positions 1299 to 1458 of the family's 1831-position model. The record is from RNAcentral.